UGUGAAGUGCCUGAUUAAAGGACAAUCUUGAUACGGUUGAGCAUGUGGCCCCCCCCCACCUUCACAA
This 67-nucleotide transfer RNA is filed under the name Linaeidea aenea. RNAcentral describes it as "tRNA-Ile". The record is from RNAcentral. Lineage: Eukaryota; Metazoa; Arthropoda; Insecta; Coleoptera; Chrysomelidae.